CUUUCUUUAGCGAUCAAUAGUUUGAUCCAAAAACCAUAACUUUCUCCCCCUCGAUCGUGUUUUCAUGGGAACAACAGACCUUACCCAAGCACUCCUCAAAAACACCAAAAACCCAAAGCUAGCAUGGCAACUCUUCAAGCGGAUUCAAUCUUCACAACCCAAUCCCUCUGUUCUUUCAUCAGUGCCCACCAUUGCCCGUAUCCUUAUCCGUUCUAAAUUGCUCCCAGAAAUCGAUCAGCUUCACCUCCUCCUCUUAUCCUCACAGCCCCAACAAAAUCCCCUCCGCUCCCUCAUUUCCCUUGUCAAUCUCUUAGCUAAAUCAGGUUUCUCUGAUAAAUCCUUUUCCCAGUUCCGGUCCAUAAGAACAAACUUCCCACAAAACCCGCCUUCCAUUUGUCUGUACAAUGUUCUCUUUGGAUGUUGUAUUAAAGAAAGAAUUUCCGAUUUGUGCUUUGGUUGUAUAAAGAUAUGGUCGUUGCCGGUGUUUUUCCUCAAACUUAUACUUUCAAUCUUUUGAUUUGUUGGUUGUAUGAUUUGGGUCAUUUGGAGGACGCCCGAGAAUUGUUUGAUAAAAUGCCUGAGAAAGGUUGUCUGCCUAAUGAGUUUAGUUUUGGCGUCUUGGUUCGGGGGUAUUGCAGAUUCGCCCUUGCUAAUAAAGGGGUGGAGCUUUUGGAUGAGAUGAAAAAGUCCAGGAUUUUGCCGAAUGGAGUUGUGUAUAAUACAUUGAUUUCGAGUUUUUUGUAAGGAAGGUAAAACUGAUGAUGCUGAAAAUUUGGUAGAAAGAAUGAGAGGAUGGUUUGUUUCCUGAUGAAGUUACAUUCAAUGCUAGAAUAUCCGCUCUUUGUAAAGCGGGUCAAGUUCUCGAAGCAUCAAGGAUUUUAAGAGAGAUGCAAAUAGAUGAAGCCGUGGGGCUACCUCGGCCUAAUGUUAUAACCUAUAAUCUAAUGCUUGAGGGGUUCUAUAAGCAGGGGAUGCUGGUGGAAGCAAAGAACUUGGUUGAGUCUAUGGAGAAAAAUGGCGAUUUGAUGAAUUUAGAGAGUUAUAAUAUCUGGUUGUUGGGGUUGCUAAGAAAUGGGAAGUUACUAGAGGCUCAACUUGUACUUAAGGACAUGGUCAAUAAAGGUGUAGAACCUAAUAUUUACUCGUAUAAUGGUGAUGAGUUUUAUUAUAAGGAGUGGUCUUUCUCCCGAUACAAUAACUUACAGCACUUUAUUACAUGGCUACUGUCGUAAAGGGAAGUUAUCUGAAGCAAAUGAUAUUCUAAAUGAGAUGAUGAGAAAUGGUUGUGUCCCGAAUACUUGUACUUGCAAUAUUUUGCUGCAUAGCUUGUGGAAAGAGGGGAAAAUAUUAGAGGCAGAAGAGUUAUUGCAAAAGAUGAAUGAAAAAGGUUAUGGUGUGGAUACUGUAACCUGCAAUAUUGUAAUUGAUGGUUUGUGUAUAAGUGGGAAGUUGGAAAAAGCUAUGGAAAUCACCGAUGAGAUGUGGACGCACGGAAGUGCUGAUCUAGGUAACCUUGGAAACUCAUUUAUUGGCCUAGUUGAUGAUGUUAACUGUCGCAUGAAAUGUACUCCUGACUUAGUUACAUAUUCUAUCAUAAUUAGUGCUCUAUGAAAGGCUGGAAGGAUAGAUGAGGCUAAAAAGAAAUUCAAAGAGAUGAUGGCUAAAGUGGUCUUUGAAGCUGCGUUAGAUAGAUCUUUUCAUUUGGGUAAUUUCUUUUAUAAGGAUCUCAUUGAAAAACUUUGUAAAGAUGAGAAGUUACAGGAAGCUAGUGGUAUUUUGCACAAGUUGAUUAUCAAAGGAUACAAAUUUGAUCCUGCAUCAUUCAUGCCAGUGGUUGAUGACUUGGGUAAACGAGGAAACAAGCUCGAGGCUGAUGAACUUGCAGAGAAGAUGUUGGAGAUGGCUUCAGAUGGUAGAGUGGAAAACAAGAUAUCUCGAAAAGAAAAGGAAUCAAUCCAUAGAAAAGGAACAAAGUAUGGUGGAGAUGACUGGCAAACAAUAGUGCACAGGAUGAUGGAAGUGGAAUCGCUUUGAAAUCCCUUUAGGGGGUACAGAAAGGUUGGGGUCAGGGAAGUAUACCGAGUUUGCGGCCCCAGAAAAAUGAGCUUUUUGAUUACUGGUGAAGUUGGUUGUUUAAGUUCCCAUUUAUCAGAAGAUAGGGGUGGAGGUUACUGGUAAUUAACCAAGGAUUAAUUUGUCAUUCAUGGAGGAUUCCUAUGCCGAUCACUUGUGCAAAAUAUUCAUUUUAAUUUCGUUGGGUUCGGAAGUCAUGAAGCAGGCAAAUGUUGCGGAACGGAUAGCAAACUGGUUGGCGAGCAAGCUGGUUUUAGAUUUUCUCUGUAGAGUAAAAAGGGUUGCGCAACACAACUUAGGCCAAAAGCUAAAACUUACAUGCGGUAGUCUCACUACCGAACAUGGUCUCGCUGUUUCACCUAGUUUGUGAAGCCACCAUGAAAACUCUAACGUUAAACAUCGAACUUUUAGUUAGUUCACACUGUGGCAAACACGAACAGAUUACAAACAUUUUCAGAACAUUCGACUUGGAACAUUUGCAGAAUCUUGUCUUGGGUGGCAGUGCUACUAAUGUGUUUGCAGCGAUGCAGUGUACCAAUAUUACGACCCGUCUGUGAAUUCAAGUCCCGUCUGUGACCGUUAACGCAAUCUUACGACCAGGAGCUUCAGGAAGUGUACCACUAAGAUCAACAAACCUCCAUCCUGCUUCAUUGUUUGCAGCAAGACAAACUUGUC
This is a long non-coding RNA of Hibiscus syriacus, 2748 nucleotides long. RefSeq lists it as uncharacterized. Lineage: Eukaryota; Viridiplantae; Streptophyta; Magnoliopsida; Malvales; Malvaceae. The record is from RefSeq and is a predicted model, not a curated record. The transcript has 3 exons.